This is a small nuclear RNA of Callithrix jacchus (white-tufted-ear marmoset), 107 nucleotides long. The record is from Ensembl. Lineage: Eukaryota; Metazoa; Chordata; Mammalia; Primates; Cebidae.
GUGCUUGCUUUGGGAGCACAUAUAGUAAAACUGGAAUGAUACAGAAAACAUUAGCAUGGCCCCUGCCCAAGAAUGGCAUGCAAAUUCAUGAAGCAUUACAUAUCUUU